GCCAUUGCCACGCAUGCGCAUUAGGUCUCCCCUGCUGGCUGUCGGCGGGGCAGAAGAGUGGGCUGAGUCUGACCCAGCGCCGAGGUACAACAGCGCUGGAUUUAGGUAAGUGGCUGUAUGUCAGCCUUACGGGAGGGUGGCACGAUUAACCCUAUAGUGCCAGGAAAACGGCUUUGUUUUCCUGGCACUAUAGGAUCCCUUUAGUUUUCACUAACCAAUGGCUGGUGGGCGAGUGGAAAUCUGGAACCCUGAAAUGUACCUCUACAGUAUUUCCACAUAUAUUAUGUGUGUGUAGAUGUAUUUGUUUUUGUGUAAGGAAGUGUACAACUGUGGAUGUGUAUGUGCAUUGCUAUUAAUACGUAUGUGAGUGUGCAGAUGUGUAUAUGGGAGUAUGAAUUUGCAUGUCUGUCUGUAUAGCAGUAUAGAAUUGUAUACAUGCACAUGUCUGGAAACACAGGUCUGCUUUCCCCAUGAGAGAUAGCAACUAAGCCAAGGUAUAU
Molecule: non-coding RNA, 500 nt
Organism: Pelobates cultripes (western spadefoot toad)
Lineage: Eukaryota; Metazoa; Chordata; Amphibia; Anura; Pelobatidae
Source: the annotation of a GenBank genome assembly